UCGUAAUUGAAUCUUCCGACUCAUGAAUUACCGAAGAGAUUCACAAAUAUAAAGUAAACAAUAAUAUUGAUCCGAUUGCUAAAGAAAAUGAAUGAUGUUUUAAUGAACACUACUCUUGCUUUCGGCGCUUUAGCAUUUAUAUCAUCGCCAAUGUUGAACGAGGCACAGAAGAGUGGUGGGCCGCAAAAUGCCCUUCAAAACGUGGUAAGUUUCCUGAAAAUGAAGUAGUGGCAGUGGGUAUACAACAACAAUGAAGGGAAAUAACUUUUUAAAAUGAAGUCUAUUGUUACUUUAAUAAUGACCUAAAUGACAUAGCCGGAUAAACUGGUACAAGAAUUGAAAAGCUUACAAAAUC
This is a long non-coding RNA of Hyposmocoma kahamanoa, 355 nucleotides long. RefSeq lists it as uncharacterized. The record is from RefSeq and is a predicted model, not a curated record. Lineage: Eukaryota; Metazoa; Arthropoda; Insecta; Lepidoptera; Cosmopterigidae. The transcript is spliced from 3 exons.